Molecule: ribosomal RNA, 900 nt
Filed under: uncultured Bacteroides sp.
Lineage: Bacteria; Pseudomonadati; Bacteroidota; Bacteroidia; Bacteroidales; Bacteroidaceae
Description: bacterial SSU rRNA
Rfam family: Bacterial small subunit ribosomal RNA
Source: RNAcentral
GUCCCAGCCGCCGCGGUAAUACGGAGGGUGCAAGCGUUAUCCGGAUUUAUUGGGUUUAAAGGGUGCGUAGGCGGUUGUAUAAGUCAGCGGUGAAAUUUUCCGGCUUAACCGGGAGACUGCCGUUGAUACUGUAUAGCUUGAAUACGGUUGCUGUGAGUGGAAUGUGUGGUGUAGCGGUGAAAUGCAUAGAUAUCACACAGAAUAUCGAUUGCGAAGGCAGCUCACAAAGCCGUUAUUGACGCUGAUGCACGAAAGUGUGGGGAUCAAACAGGAUUAGAUACCCUGGUAGUCCACACUGUAAACGAUGAUAACUAGCUGUCGGCGAUACAUAGUCGGUGGCCAAGCGAAAGCGAUAAGUUAUCCACCUGGGGAGUACGACCGCAAGGUUGAAACUCAAAGGAAUUGACGGGGGCCCGCACAAGCGGAGGAACAUGUGGUUUAAUUCGAUGAUACGCGAGGAACCUUACCCGGGCUCGAACGGUGCAGUAAUAUGGUAGAGAUAUCAUAGCUAGCAAUAGACUGUAUCGAGGUGCUGCAUGGUUGUCGUCAGCUCGUGCCGUGAGGUGUCGGCUUAAGUGCCAUAACGAGCGCAACCCUUGUCGUUAGUUACCAUCAAGUAAAGUUGGGGACUCUAGCGAGACUGCCACCGUAAGGUGUGAGGAAGGGGGGGAUGACGUCAAAUCAGCACGGCCCUUACGUCCGGGGCGACACACGUGUUACAAUGGUAGGUACAGAGGGCCGCUAUCCAGUGAUGGAGUGCCAAUCUCAAAAACCUAUCUCAGUUCGGAUCGGAGUCUGCAACUCGACUCCGUGAAGUUGGAUUCGCUAGUAAUCGCGCAUCAGCCAUGGCGCGGUGAAUACGUUCCCNGGCCUUGUACACACCGCCCGUCAAGCCAUGGA